GUAAAACAAAAGAAAAAGAAACAAAAGAAGAACAGAAAAGAAACAGAGAAAGAGACGAAAACAAGGGAAGAAAAAGGGGAAAGAAAAGAAAGGGGGAAAAUUGAGAUUUUAAAGCUUCAAGUUUAAUUGGUAAGCUAAAUUUAGCCCUUUUCUCUUAAUUUUGAUGUUUUAGAAACUUUAAAACAAAGUUUUAUUGAAAUUAAGUGGAGGUUAUGGAAGUUCAUAGGUUUUUAAACAUGAUUCAUGCUGAACAAGUUGUUAAAUUAGGGGUUUAGUUGAUAGAAUUUCUAGUUAGAAUAGAUAAAAAGAUUGAAUUGUAAACUAAGUUAUAAGUUUUACAUAGUUGGGAUUAAGUUAUAAAAAGCCUUAAAUUAGGGUUUAAUUAUGAAUAUUGAAUAGUUGAGUUAAUUAUGUCAAGAAAUUAAGUAGAAAAGAAGUAUGAAUUAAGAUAGAAAAGUAAGUAAGCUUAGUUAGAAUUAAAUUGAGAAUAAGUAGGAAUUGAAUAAAAUUUAAUUAUUAUUUUUUUAAUGUUGUAAUUAAUAGUGAAAAUAAUUAUCAUUUUCGUAGCUAACAAGGAAAACGAGGCAUCGGCAUCCAAUGGAAAAGAAAAGAUCGUUGAGGAGUAAACGCGUAUUCCAGGUUUGUAUUGCUAUAACUUAAUCUAUUUAAUAAAUGCUAUAUUGAAAUUGUAUUCAUGGGACAUUUAAGGUAAGGUAAGUAAUAACAUUUGAAAUUAAGUAAGAAUAUGUGUGAAUAUUGAAUUAUAUGUGAAUUAAAAUAAUAGAUGUUUUGAAUUGAUUGAAUAUUUGAAAUUGUUGUGGAAAUGAAUUUGAAAUUUGAAAAGUAAAAUAAUACCCUAUUAACUUAUCGGACUAGAUUGGAUACAAAUGGCAUUCCAUCAGAUUUGUGAUAUGAUGAGGAGAUUUGUAGUUCGACCGAGAAGACGAUAAUGUUAUUAUAUGGUUCUGUUUAUCCGAAGAGGCAUUUAAUGCCUUAUUGGUGUGUUUGGGAGGAUAUGAUAUACUAGUGUGUUAUGGAGGAUUUAUAUUAUUCUGGGUGUGUUUAGGUUGGAUAUUCCGGUGUGUUUGGAUGGAAUCCAUGUAUCUAUCAAAGUCCGAGCCUUGUUAAUAGGGUAAAUAACUUAAAUGAAAAUUUGAAAAUGAGAUUGGUUGAUUUGACACUAUUGAAAAGUACGGAAACGAAUGUAUGAGUUAAAUUAUAAAUUGAAUUAGUAUGUAAAAAAAUGUAUAUAUAUAUGAAUUUAAGAUUUAUGAAGUGAUAUAUAAAUAUGUAUAUUUAGUUUAAGUGAUUUAUAAAGAUUAUGGUCGAUAUUUGAAAUUUUAUUAUUAUUAAAUAGUUUAAUUUAUAGUAAUACCAUUAAGUAUGAAAUACUCAGCGUACGGUUGUUUCCGUGUGCAGGUAAUUAGAGUUCAAAGUUCAAUUCAGCAUCCAGAAAGAUCUCGACUCCAACAAGAAAAGUUUGGUGAUGUAUUUCUUCCUUUUGUUUAAGUGGCAUGUACUAGGUGAUUGUACACGAGUCAUAUAUAUAUGUAUAUAUAUAUGUAAAUAUAAAUGUUAAAUGAUCUUGGUUGUAAGUAAAUGGUUACAAUCUUUUUUGAUGAUAAAUAUAGUUUAAAGUUAUAAAUUAGUAAA
Molecule: long non-coding RNA, 1653 nt
Filed under: Gossypium barbadense (sea-island cotton)
Lineage: Eukaryota; Viridiplantae; Streptophyta; Magnoliopsida; Malvales; Malvaceae
Description: long non-coding RNA (GBAR_LNC017445)
Source: RNAcentral